Molecule: ribosomal RNA, 458 nt
Filed under: uncultured bacterium
Lineage: Bacteria
Description: SSU rRNA
Rfam family: Bacterial small subunit ribosomal RNA
Source: RNAcentral
AGAGCGAACGCUGGCGGCAGGCCUAAUACAUGCAGGUCGAACGAAGCCUUCGGGCUUAGUGGCGGACGGGUGAGUAACACGUGGGAACGUACCCUUUGGCUCGGAACAACUCAGGGAAACUUGAGCUAAUACCGAAUGUGCCCCCAUCCUUAAAAAGAUGGGUGGGAAAGAUUUAUCGCCAUUGGAGCGGCCCGCGUCUGAUUAGCUAGUUGGUGAGGUAAAGGCCCACCAAGGCUACGAUCAGUAGCUGGUCUGAGAGGAUGAUCAGCCACACUGGGACUGAGACACGGCCCAGACUCCUACGGGAGGCAGCAGUAGGGAAUCUUGCGCAAUGGGCGAAAGCCUGACGCAGCCAUGCCGCGUGAAUGAUGAAGGUCUUAGGAUUGUAAAAUUCUUUCAGCGGGACGAUAAUGACGGUACCGCAGAAGAAGCCCGGCUAACUUCGCGCCAGCAGCCGC